RNAcentral lists this ribosomal RNA (515 nucleotides) under uncultured bacterium. Its description in RNAcentral is "partial 16S ribosomal RNA". It matches the Rfam family "Bacterial small subunit ribosomal RNA", at positions 28 to 523 of the family's 1533-position model. The record is from RNAcentral.
GAUGAACGCUGGCGGCGUGCCUAAUACAUGCAAGUCGAGCGAAUGGAUUAAGAGCUUGCUCUUAUGAAGUUAGCGGCGGACGGGUGAGUAACACGUGGGUAACCUGCCCAUAAGACUGGGAUAACUCCGGGAAACCGGGGCCAAUACCGGAUCACAUUUUGAACCGCAUGGUUCGAAAUUGAAAGGAGGCUUCGGCUGUCACUUAUGGAUGGACCCGCGUCGCAUUAGCUAGUUGUGGAGGUAACGGCUCACCAAGGCAACGAUGCGUAGCCGACCUGAGAGGGUGAUCGGCCACACUGGGACUGAGACACGGCCCAGACUCCUACGGGAGGCAGCAGUAGGGAAUCUUCCGAAAUGGACGAAAGUCUGACGGAGCAACGCCGCGUGAGUGAUGAAGGCUUUCGGGUCGUAAAACUCUGUUGUUAGGGAAGAACAAGUGCUAGUUGAAUAAGCUGGCACCUUGACGGUACCUAACCAGAAAGCCACGGCUAACUACGUGCCAGCAGCCGCGGUAA